RNAcentral lists this ribosomal RNA (497 nucleotides) under uncultured bacterium. RNAcentral describes it as "partial 16S ribosomal RNA". It matches the Rfam family "Bacterial small subunit ribosomal RNA", at positions 28 to 507 of the family's 1533-position model. The record is from RNAcentral.
GAUGAACGCUGGCGGCGUGCCUAAUACAUGCAAGUCGAGCGAACAGACGAGGAGCUUGCUCCUCUGACGUUAGCGGCGGACGGGUGAGUAACACGUGGAUAACCUACCUAUAAGACUGGGAUAACUUCGGGAAACCGGAGCUAAUACCGGAUAAUAUAUUGAACCGCAUGGUUCAAUAGUGAAAGACGGUUUUGCUGUCACUUAUAGAUGGAUCCGCGCCGCAUUAGCUAGUUGGUAAGGUAACGGCUUACCAAGGCAACGAUGCGUACCCGACCUGAGAGGGUGAUCGGCCCCACUGGAACUGAGACACGGUCCAGACUCCUACGGGAGGCAGCAGUAGGGAAUCUUCCGCAAUGGGCGAAAGCUUGACGGAGCAACGCCGCGUGAGUGAUGAAGGUCUUCGGAUCGUAAAACUCUGUUAUUAGGGAAGAACAAAUGUGUAAGUAACUAUGCACGUCUUGACGGUACCUAAUCAGAAAGCCACGGCUAACUACGUG